UACGUAGGGGGCAAGCGUUAUCCGGAAUUAUUGGGCGUAAAGCGCGCGCAGGCGGUCGGUUAAGUCAGGUGUGAAAGGCUGCGGCUCAACCGCAGAGCGGCAUCUGAAACUGGCCGGCUUGAGUGCAGGAGAGGGGAGCGGAAUUCCCGGUGUAGCGGUGGAAUGCGUAGAGAUCGGGAAGAACACCAGUGGCGAAAGCGGCUCUCUGGCCUGCAACUGACGCUGAGGCGCGAAAGCGUGGGGAGCAAACAGG
RNAcentral lists this ribosomal RNA (253 nucleotides) under uncultured bacterium. Its description in RNAcentral is "partial 16S ribosomal RNA". It matches the Rfam family "Bacterial small subunit ribosomal RNA", at positions 524 to 776 of the family's 1533-position model. The record is from RNAcentral.